Molecule: long non-coding RNA, 452 nt
Filed under: Rattus norvegicus (Norway rat)
Lineage: Eukaryota; Metazoa; Chordata; Mammalia; Rodentia; Muridae
Description: long non-coding RNA NONRATT017722
Source: RNAcentral
UGCUUCGUUCCUAUACCCAACUGGGUAGACCAAAGCUGCGCACCUUGACUCUGCCCUCCCAUAGCCCAAAAGAUGAAGGACAGGACCGUCUUAACCAGGUAUUUGGAGUACAUUACAGCCACGCACCAAGGUCUAUGUGGCAUGUGCACUCAAGCGACUGAGGAGUGUCAAGAGUUUGAAGCCAACCCAGGGUACAUAGUUGGACACCGUUUCAACAGAGGAGAUUUUAAGAAAAGAAAUUAAAAUUGUAUUUCUUCAAAUAUUUAUUAAUUCUUUGGGAAUUUCACCGUGUAUCUUUAUCACAAUUCCCCACCUCCCCACUCCUUCCUCCAACUCCUCCCAGAUUGAAAAUGUAUACUUCAUUUAUCAACCCAUUCAUUCCCCACGAGUUCAUUGCCUAAUUCUUAUUUUCCCGUUAUUACCUAUAAAGAAAUAAAAUACCCAUUGCUCAG